Molecule: ribosomal RNA, 339 nt
Filed under: uncultured bacterium
Lineage: Bacteria
Description: bacterial SSU rRNA
Rfam family: Bacterial small subunit ribosomal RNA
Source: RNAcentral
AACGAACGCUGGCGGCGUGGAUAAGACAUGCAAGUUGAACGCUAAUUCCGGUGUAGCAAUACAUCGGAGUUGGAGUAGCGCAAGGGUGCGUAACACGUGGGUAAUUUGCCGUGAAGUUGGGGAUAACUCGCUGAAAGGCGAGCUAAUACCGAAUGUGAAGUUUGGGUGGCAUCACCUGACCUUUAAAGCUGGGGAUCGUAAGACCUGGCGCUUUAUGAUAAGCCCGCGGCCUAUCAGCUAGUUGGUGAGGUAACGGCUCACCAAGGCUAAGACGGGUAGCUGGUCUGAGAGGACGACCAGCCACACUGGAACUGAGACACGGUCCAGACACCUACGGGU